Agrilus planipennis (emerald ash borer) is the source of this 1390-nucleotide long non-coding RNA. RefSeq lists it as uncharacterized. NCBI's taxonomy places the organism in Eukaryota, Metazoa, Arthropoda, Insecta, Coleoptera, Buprestidae. The transcript is spliced from 7 exons. The record is from RefSeq and is a predicted model, not a curated record.
AACUGAUAUCUUUGCUUACUGAAAAGAUAAGUCGUCUCCUAUGGUGUUUUAGCUGUUAACCUUUCAUCUUGGAGGCUCUUGUAGUUAAUUAAGGAACAUUAGAAGAACUCGGGAUACCAUUAAAUUACGAAAGUAUAGAGCGUUGGUUGUAUUAGUCCUCAUUUGCCCCAGAAAGUAGCUGUGCCCAUGAUUCUAAAGAAAGCAUGAAAGUGCCUUUUUUCCGUUGGGAUCGAAGCUGUUAAAUUUUCAUCCCGGAUGCUCUUGUAGUUAAUUAAGGGAUGUUAGAAGAACUCCAGAUGCCAUUAAAUUGUGGAGCAUUGAUUGUGUUGGUUCUCAUUGACUCCAAAAAGUGACUAUUCCUAUGGUCAUAAAGAAAGCAUGAAAGUGCCUUUCCAUUGGGAACGGAGGCAAUGUGCUGAAGAAGAAGUGUGUUGCUGAAGGAGGGAUUUAUGACUAAACUGAUUGUCCCACAAAUGACGAGGGAUUGCAGUUAAUUUUGAUGCUACUGAAGCAACCGAUACUUUUGAUGUCUUCAUCUUGCAACAUUAUGCAGUUAAUUUUUGCCGUUACAACAAGAGACUGUUGGAAAUUAAUUAAUUUGGAAACGACUGGAACAACAAAUUGUUUGCAGUGGUAUCCCUCCUAGAUUUGGUUUGCUCAUCACACUGGUAGACUAUAGAACGCCACUUUCUACAAUUAAUUAAGGUUAUACAAUAAAUGAGAGAAUUAAUGUGCAGUUUGGUUAUACGGCCUGUAUCUACAAGGGUGUGGUCUUUCCUGGAUUAUAUUCUUGAUUUGCCGUUUCGUUAUCGCCUUGUAACAUCAUGCAAUUAAUUUUUUCCCUAACAACGGGAGGCAUUUGGAAAUUAAUUGAUUUGGAAGCGUCUGGAACAACAAAUUGUUUGCAGUGGUAUCCGUCCUAGAUUUGAUUGGUUUGCUCAUCACACUGGUGGACUUUAGAACGCCACUUUCUCCAAUUAAUUAAGGUUAUACAAUAAAUGAGAGAGAAUUAAUGUUCAGUUUGGUUAUACUGAAACAGCCUAAGUCUACAAGGGUGUGGUCUUUCCUGGAUUAAUUCUUGAUUUGCUGUUUCGUCUUCGCCUUGUAACAUCAUGCAGUUAAUUUUCAACCCAUGAGGGAGAGCAACUGGAUAUUUAUUUGAAUUCCACUGAAACAACAAAUUCUCUACUACGGUGUUCCUCCUGGAGUUGGUUUGCUUUUUACACCGAUAAACUUUGGUUCUACAAUUAAUUAAGAUCGACGUUGGAGAAGACAAAGAUGACCCCAUAGUUGAAAUCUUGCAUGUUCUAUCUAGAAUUCAUUAAGUUGGUUUUAUUGAAAUUAAUUUUUUAUUUUGCAUGUUUUUUAUAGUUAAUUUGAAUUAGUUUUU